CUAAGCAUCUUUGCUCUGCCAUGCCCUUCUGCUAUGACGUUCCUGCCUUGAAGUCAAAUAGCAAAGGGCUGAAUCCCCUGAAACUGCUGAAUGUGACAUCCUGGGGAAACUUCCUCCUGAGACACUGUGCCUGCCUCUCCUCUAUCAGAUAUUCUUAAUACUGCGGUGAUCUUCUGUUGGUCUCCCGCAUAUGAGCAUCACCGCCUAGAGGGUCCUGUCCCACAGUCUGCUCUCAGGCAGCCUCCUGGAAAUCAUUGGCCAGAUUUAACAAAUAAAAAAACCAAUUCCCGGUUGAAUUUGAAUUUCAGAUUAAGCAAGGUGCAAAGGAGUAGAGGGCAGUGAGAUACAGUGGCUUGAGGGCGGACUGCAACAGAGGGGAGAUGAAAGGACGAAGAAGCAGAAGAGACCACUGAGAAGAGGUUGUCUAGGAUGUCUCUGGAGUUCAAUGAAUAUUUCACAAGCCCACAAGGAAUAUUUCACAAGGCAAAUAUUUCCCAGGACACGUUGAGAAGUAUCAUCCAUGGUCUCAAACAUUAGAAAACCAGGGCCUCAGGUUCAACAUGUGUGAAAAGUGUUUACAAGAAUUAUUG
RNAcentral lists this long non-coding RNA (590 nucleotides) under Heterocephalus glaber (naked mole-rat). Its description in RNAcentral is "lncRNA (ENSHGLG00100050423.1)". Lineage: Eukaryota; Metazoa; Chordata; Mammalia; Rodentia; Bathyergidae. The record is from RNAcentral.